Molecule: non-coding RNA, 545 nt
Organism: Pogona vitticeps (central bearded dragon)
Lineage: Eukaryota; Metazoa; Chordata; Lepidosauria; Squamata; Agamidae
Source: RefSeq, a predicted model, not a curated record
GCUGAAAUUUAUUUUUGGUAGCUAAAGAGAAGUUCACAUACUAAGAGGGUUUUGGAUCAGAUUUCCCAACUCUUGACAUGUAAUGAUGAUUUUUUUGGUCCUGUGUGAUUGCCUGUAUCAGUCUGAAAGGGGCAGUGGGGGUCUCCUUGGUGAUGGUGACAUUUUCAGUGGAGUGCAAUAUGGCAGAGCUCCAAGGCAGCUGACAUAAUGCAAGUUUUCCAGACUGUACUUUUAAUUACGGAUACAAGCGCAGUGGCCAUGAAGUAGCCACAUUGCCCAGGAACCCGACCUCUUUGCAAAGAAAAUAAAUCAAUAGCAACUUUCACACAGACUGAAAUGAUAAGGAAUGAUGAAGUGAUUCAUCAUAGAUACAAAAUAAAAUAACCCUCCUGGUGAGGGAGAAAUGAACCGCUGGCCAGGAAAAUGAGUAUAUCUUGACUGUGCCUCAUGUGCUCGGAAAUUUAUGAAAUGAUCUAAAAACAUGACUAUAUUGGUAUAACUUGAGUUCUUUUGCCAGGUGUGAUCAGGCCUUUAGAUAUCUAGAA